Molecule: transfer RNA, 85 nt
Filed under: Felis catus (domestic cat)
Lineage: Eukaryota; Metazoa; Chordata; Mammalia; Carnivora; Felidae
Also listed under: 2 other names
Rfam family: tRNA
About the family: Transfer RNA (tRNA) molecules are approximately 80 nucleotides in length.
Source: Rfam by way of RNAcentral
GCCUGGGUGGCUCAGUCGGUUAAGCGUCUGAUUUUGGCUCAGGUCAUGGUCUCACGGUUCAUGGGUUCGAGCCCCACAUCAGGCU